GUUCAUAAAUAGGACUGUUCAUAAACUGAGGUACCACCGUAGUGCCUUAAAUCAGGCUUCCUCAACCUCAGCCCUCCAGAUGUUUUGGACUACAAUUCCCAUCAUCCCUGACCACUGGUCCUGUUAGCUGGGGAUCAUGGGAGUUGUAGGCCAAAACAUCUGGAGGGCCGCAGGUUGGGGAUGCCUGCCUUAAAUGGUUUGGAACCAGGUUUGGAACCAGAGGCUUGACAACCAUAUGUCAGGAGUGCUCUGAUGGUGUUUCCUGCUUGGCAGGGGGUUGGACUCGAUGGCCCUUGUGGUCUCUUCCAACUCUAUGAUUCUAUGAUUCUAGGAUAUUUGAAGGGCUAUUUUCCCUCCCAUGAUGUUCAUUGUUGGAUGUCCUACUCCAUGUCCCUUUGCCUUCAACUACUCAGCUGGUCAGGACAUGUUACAGUGUCUUCUUAGUAGCGAGGCCAAGGUUGGGAAACUCCCUCCCACAGGAAGCCUGAUUGGAUCCUUCCUCCUGGCCUUCAGACAAAUACUGGAGACAUUCCUACUCCACCAGGUAUUUCAUCUGUCUCUAUUUUAGGAGGGGGGUUUUCUCCUGCUGUUACAGGUUGUUUUAAUAUUCCUUCCAUUUUUAUCUGUUAAUAAUGAAAGUUUUGGUUUUUUGUGUGUAGUGUUUUUCUUUAAGAUUAUUGUGAUGUGCCUUGGAGGACUUGCAACUGUGAUGUGCCUUGGUGACCUUGUUGUCAAAAGAUGGGACAGGGACAUUUUUAAACAAAGUGUGGUGACCAGUUUUGAUAGAAUAUCAUAUGCAGUGAAAAACUCUAAUGGUUUAUAGCAAAAUGAUGGCAUAUAAAUAAGGAGAAAGGCAAAGAAGACACUGGAGCAAGGUUGGCUGUUUCUGCAGGCCAUCUACCACCAGUUGCCCAGUGAGAAGAAUCCUGAUGACUUUGGAUAUCACUCAUGAGGCAACCUGGAAGGGAUCUGCAUCCUGGAAAGCGAGUUAUAAGGAACUGCAAUAAUAAACAAAUAAAGUCUCCACAUCCAAGAUAGCCAGGAUUCUAUACCCUGUGAGAAUGACAGACUGAAUUUGGUUAUUUAUAAGUCACCCUUUUGAGGCAUAUCUACUAAAGGUGGCAAAGAGCAAUAAUACAACCAUAAAAAUGCAAUAACAUAGUGAAAUAUCACUUCCACCUGGAGCUGGCUUGUGUGGCUCCUGUGGACCAAUCAGAGUGCUGCAUUCUGGACCCUAUUGUUCUAGGACCAAUCAGACUGCUGCCUUUUGGAUUCUAUUCACUCAGUACAUAACACAUACUGUAACACUGUAUGCAUUCCAGCAUAAUAUAGCACUGGCUUACCCAGACUUUGCACAUUAUGGCUUACUGGAACAAUGGUAUACUCCUAGAAAGAAGCUUGCAGGGUCUUUGUAUCUUUACAAGCAGCGCUGAGCUAAGCCAAAGUUUCAUUUAAUGUUCCAGCCCAACCCAGACUGGUGGUUAAGCUCUCUCCUCGUUAAUCACAAAUAGUAGUGAAAAUUUGGCUAUGAAUCAUGAACCCGGGUUUGGAAAACAUACUAAACCAAACCUCGACUUAGUUCAGUAUGGAACAAGAAUUUUUAAAAGGAGCAAGGUGGCUACAAGCUGCUCUCCAAGAGUCCACACAUUUGUGUGGUUCCAGUAAGUCAUAGAUCGGCUUACCAUGUCAUACAAACCACAUCAAAAUACAAAAGAAAUGGCAAUACAAUUCAGACAGCAUAAAACCAUUUCCAAAGCAAGCACAGUAAAACAAUAAAACACUAGCAUAGCAUCAGCUAAAACACAUCAGCUUACAGCUAUCUGAAACUGGUGGGUUUUUAAGCUUUAUUAAAUACUACAACUGAUAGUGGCAACCAUAAAUUUAUUGGGAGGCAGUUCCUUUGGGAGGCUGUGUGCCCAUCCAGCACCUCCCUACCUAGAUUACCCAGUUUCUUUACCCACAACAACUUUGUCUUGUCUGGUUUAAGCUUCAGUUUGCUCACUUUCAUCCAUCCCAAAACUACCCUUUAGACAUGUGUUUAGAAAUUCCACAGCCUCUCUGGGAUUUGCAGGUAUGUUGCUGACACUGUUCCCCAGUGGCUUCAUGUAUAUAUCAACUAUCUUCAACCUUUUCAGACCCAGCACCCACUUUUAACACUAACGUGCAUUCGGGAACCCUUUUCUUGAAGCAUAUAUUUGCAAUAUAUUUCCACCUUGGAUCAGGCUGUGACCCACUAGGAUCCCAACCCACCAGUUGAAGAUCAGUGGCUGUGGAUGAUAAAAACUGAGAAGGUGGGAGAGAGAUGAAACCUUGGCACCCUGUUAUGCCAAAGGCCACAGGAUGAAACAGAAAUUUCCUCGGGACGUCAAUGUUGUCCCCCAAAUAAUGUAACAUCUGAGAACUGACUGCAGAUAGCCAGACAUUUCCCAUUUCCCCUCCACAAGGAGCUCAAGAGUGGUACAAAUGGUACUCGCCCUCCUCAUUUAACAUUUCAGUCCUCCUCCACAUAACAUUUCAGUCUCCUAGACACCUUGCUACUGGUCUCAAACCUGCCUCUCCCUCCCCCCCCCCAUUAUAUUUUUGUGGUGGUUAUUUUCUCAUUGAGGGUUGCCUAUAUAGGGUUGGGGUGUUGCCUGCUUUUUCAGCUUGUCUUCAGUUUGUUUUAGGGGAGUGUAGGUAGUUUGCCUGUUUAGCAUGGGUUCUGAGCAUCAUCCAUUUUUCUUCUGUGAAAUUAAUACGUUGUGGUGUCCACAACAGUUUCUUAAAUUUCUCAUGCUUUUUUUUUUUUAAAGGAGUUCCCUGUUUUAAGGUGUUGCAAGACAGUUCUUUGCUAUUUUUGCUGCAAGAGACUAAUGUGUCUGCCAUUUGGAAGUGGUGAAUAAAGUGAUCCAAACCAGCACAGUUCAACAAGGAAAAAAGGUGGAAAAUCACUUCACUCAGGUUAUGGCUAUGGGGGGGGGGCGUACCUUAUGGACUUUAAACUACAAGCUCAUUGCAAACAGAAUAGUGAAAAUCAAACCUGUUAAACACCAUGCCCGAAAUUCAAGCGUUCUAACCUACUUGUCUCCAUCUGCUAACAUGCUAAAGCACAACUGUAUUAUUGCAACACUUCUCCAGUAAUGACCAUAUUGAGUGGGUGUCAUAUGAUCAUAAAUAAGGGAAGGGGGAGGUCAUCUGUGCAGCCACAUGAGGAAAGUGGGAAAGCGGAUGAACCUGUGGUCCACAUGCAGUUUGGGGAAUAGGAAAUGAAUACGAGAAAACUUGCUCCAGGCAGGGCUCUCCGCUUCUCAGUUUUCUGAGCAGCAACAUCCAUCAAAAUUGACACAGGGACUGUGCCAAUUUUCAGGUGGAAUAAUGAAAGGGCAUUACCGUAAUGUUGGCUACUGUGGCAAUUAAAGGGCAGGAAGAAAAUGUGCCCGGGCCUGUGAUGGAAUUAGAAUAUCGCAGCCCAAUUUAUAAGCCAUCCAAAUUGCUCCGUGUUUACAGGCUGAUUGUUUGCAACAGCAUUAUUCAUAUGGCAGCCUUUAAGUGCUGCUCUGGAUGUGAUGCAUAAUUCCAAGGUGCUCCAGUGCCACUGAAGCAUGAAUUAAUGGCUGUGUCGCCGAACGUUAUCAGAAGGAUUUUAAUGUUUUUUUAUGGAGAUGAGAGUAUUACAUAUGUAAGCAAAACUGUAUGGUGUAAAAUGUUAGGCUGUCAUGUAGAUCAACGGAAGUUAAUGUGGUGGCAAGGGGAAAGGAGAUUAUUCUGUGCUGAGGAGAGCGCAUGCCUGCAACCUCAGGUUGCUUUCGGAGUUUUCAAGUUCUUAUUACUGCACUUAAAAAGUCCACACAGUAUUUCCCCUACUAAAUUUCAGCUCCAGAAUAAAGUGCUGAGAAGCAGCAAAGGCUCGCAAAACUGUAAUGCAGCCACCAAUCAACCGUUUACUUCCUUCCUAGGUGGUGAUAACAAUCCCAUUAAAAGGUACUAUCUCUGCCUCUAUGUGCAACAAUAUAAAAUUGUUUCAAAGCAUGUACAUUUAUACACAAGCUGUUAUGCUGGAUUCUCUGCAAAGUGCAUCUGUUGAUAAGGGCAUUCUUCCUACCCGCUGCAAUAACUUAUUUAUAGACAAUUUGCCAUUCACUCAAAAGAAAGGACCCAGAAAACCUUGCAGAACUGCAUUCUUAGGAAGCACAAGCACACCACUAAAAUGGAACCAGCCUUUGUGCAGCAAUUUUGUAUGAGCAUAUGUGUUUAUUUACCUGCUGAAGUAUCAAGAUGAAUGGAUGAGCUCAUUAAUUUCAUUGCAAGUCCCUGGGUUCUAGUACUAUGGGAUAAGGAGAAAAAGUUUUCGCUGUUCAUGUUCUUUCCAGUUUUUAUGUUAUAAACCUCCACCAUGUCUUCCCUUAGUAACUUUUUAAAAUUUAAAGUCUGAAUGCUUUAGUGACUCUAAAGUUAAUAAUGCUUCUUACCUAUUUAACUGGGAUAGAAGUUAAGAUAAUGGGUUUGUAAUGUUUAGGUCCUUCCCUAGAUUAGUGUUUUUUUAAAACAGUAUUUUUGACUAUUGACUAUUUUCCAGUAUUAUGUAAAGAGAUUGUUUUCUGCAUAUUUAUUCUGCAUAUCUCGGGUAUAUAUGCUCCUCAAACUCAGUAACGACUUGAUUUUUAAACUUUAUAUUUUUCUGUCUAAACACAGAACUUUCCUAAUGGCCUGUCUAAAUAAAAUUUGUUAUUCUGUUUCAUAUUUGACAACUUAUCACAUCCAGAAUCUAUUGCAAGUAUUUUUUAAUCCUAGGGACCAUACUUCAAAUAAUGUGUGAAUAUCAGCCUUGGGGAAAGAAUAAGGAUUUGGCACCAUACUAUUUCCCUAACUUCCUUGGUAUGAUUCACUGGGGUGGGGAUGCAGGGUGGUAUAAAUAUAUGGGUAGAUCUUGAUGAGGCUGCAGUCUGCCCAGCACCAUUCCUGAUUUGUCUUGGCUCAUCACUGACCUCUCAUAAGGCAUGCUCUUUAAAUAUCAAAAUCUGGUCUUCAAAACAUUACGCAUCUGCCAGAGCCUCCCUUACAGCUAUGAUGUGCUUGUAAAGGGACUUGCAGUUUUCCAAGUGGCAGAUCAGAUAUAAUGAACACAAUUACAAUAAAGGGGCAUUAAAAUAAAAUAAGGAUGGAGAUUAUAAUGAUAGAAAUAACACUUCCAUGAGGAUUUCACACUGUCCUCCCAACCACACAGAAAGAAGGGUAGGCAGUUGUCCUGCAGGGCUGGACAAAUAAGUAUUGCUGCCUGAGGCAGAGCAGAAAAUGCUGCCCCCUGCCCCUCCCAGUCAAAGUGAGCAUGCACAGAGUUGGUUUUGAACGAAUGUUUUAUUUCAGACCAGUACCUAGAGCAAAUAUAAUGCACACUAUACCAGCCUCCUACAGGGUCCACCAAAACCAAAGAUCUGGGGUUUGCCCAGAGAUAAAUAUUUGCCUUUAGCUGUAGUGUUUUUAGAGGGUUCUUGGUACAUUUUACAUCAGAGAAAAAAGGUUCCACAACUGUUAUCAAAUCUCAUCUAGACAUUGAGCGAACAUUCAGCCAGUAGCCUUACGUAAAUAGCUAGUAAUUUGUCUGAAGAAAUAUUUCAUGUCAAGUAGAACGUAUCUGUGAGACUGACAAGAACACUGACCAUUGUACAUGUAGAAUGGAUGGGAAUUAAUACAGACACUGACAUUGAUCUUCUAUCUCUAAUAAAUAUUGAUAAUCCAUCCCUAAUAAAUAAUUUAUCUUAUGAAUCUAAAUAACUUGGCACUUCUUCUCAAAUUCGGUAGCAUGAAUUGCACUAUUUAUUUAAAGUAUUAAGAUGUUUAUUAAGUGUGCCCCAACUAAUUCACACUUCAAAAAAAAAUCUAGUAAAACAGUAAAAACAUCAAUAUUUGUACUUAUAUUCAUUUAUUUUUGUUCUGUUUUAUUUUAAACCUUUAUAACCCACUCUUCAAAAAAAAAAAAAAGCCUUUCCCAUGGUGGGUUACAAAAACAAAAGCCAUAACAGAUUCAAACAUUAAAAGCAGCAGAUAAAAAUAGAACCUUUUUUAAAAAAUAAGAAACCAUCUUCAGGGAAUAAAAUUUCACAUUUUAAAAGGUCUGGGAAAAUAAAAAAGAACUUUGCCUGGUGCUGAAAUGACAUCAGAGCAGGCGCCAGGUGAGCAAUAAAAAUAACUUAAUCAGCAGCACCAAAAGAGAAGCAGUCUAAAGAUCAAAUAAAAUCAGAAAAACAAAACAAUAAAAGAACAGCAGCCGCAGAUCACCCAUUAAAUUCUUGGGGAAUAAAAAGGGCUUAACCAGUUGUCUAAAGUGAUAAAAAUGCUAGAGCCACCUGAGUUCUUCCCCAGGGAGAUAGUCCAUAACCUAGCCUUUGCCAACAUGGUGCCCUGCAGAUAUUACAAAACGUGUUGUAGUGCAAAACAUCUGGAGAGCACCAAGUUGGUGGUGGUUGGCCUAACCUGUUUAUCCCCCUAAUAGCAUCUCCAGGUUUGAGGGGCCCGUGGUAUUUCCCCAGAUGUUAAUGGGGGGGUUCCCCCAUUGAAGCAGGUGGCAGGUAGCCCUGUCCUCUCUCUUAGCUCCCUCUCCAGUUUAUUUCCGCCAGCUGCAGGGGUGAGAAUGAGGAGGGUGGCAGUUGCAAAUGGCUGCCGCUGAAACUGCCCACAUGCGCCAAGCCAUACUAUAUAGCAUUAUUCAGGGCUUUUCUAAUGCUCACAUGACACUCAGCAGUCAGCGGACACUCAGGGAUGUCAGCAGUAGUGGGAUCUUGACAGCUGCCCAAGGAUGUUGUGGCAGUGGCCCCAAAGACCGCAAUAAAUGUGGCAAUGUGUACCCCUGUAAAUCCUUGAGUGUGCUUCUAAUAGAGAACUUAUGGUAGCCUGGUACUUUAUGAAACUGGUUAUUUUGCAAGUUGCCACCCCUCAUUGGGGCAGAAAUACAGCUAAUAUGUGAAUCACAAAGAUACAGCUCAAAGCUAGAGCAUAAGUUGCUACAUGGUGCAAAUGGCUACACGUAACACAGGUUCCCAACAUGUACACUAACACAAUGUAACAGAACACGGUGAGAAUCAGAACUUAAUCGGCAGAAAUUGCCAGUGCUUAUUGCGGUUUUGUAUUAAAUGAGGUAACGAUGUAUAUGAUUGGUGGAAAUUGAAAUGCUUUGUUUGAAAUUUUAUAAAUACCACUGCCUGGACCACCGGGCGGGGUUGCAGUUUUGCGAAAUGAUCUGACUGUAACCUAUUGCUUUGCAAUAAACAAUGUUGGACUCCUAACUCCUCAUGUUUCUGAGUUUUAUUGGUGUAAACUCAGGAGAUAAGCCAUUUUCUGGCUUACAACCUUUUGGUGCCAUGACUCGGAUUUGAACCGAGGUUCCUGCAGCCACAACGCAGAGUACUAACCACUAUACGAUCAUGGCUUACAACAAUGUCACCUUGGGCGCCACCACAGAAAAGGCCCUCACCACAGCCACUGUUGUGGAGGGUUGAGGUGAUUAAAAAAUCAAUCCUCCUGUCAGACUGGGAAUAUCCUCUCACUCACCCAGUUUAGGAUAUUCCACCAUCCUUCAGCACAGUUUCUUUUCUUUCAGCAAAGCUAGCAGCUCACGUAUAUGUCAAGCAAAGCUUUAAUAAUAAAGAAAACUGUAACACAAUAACAUACUAUCUAAGAGGAACUAAAACAACAUGGUGAGGCAAGGAUGACAGUUGGUCUCUCU
Podarcis lilfordi (Lilford's wall lizard) is the source of this 7699-nucleotide non-coding RNA. The record is from the annotation of a GenBank genome assembly. NCBI's taxonomy places the organism in Eukaryota, Metazoa, Chordata, Lepidosauria, Squamata, Lacertidae.